CUUUUCUUGUAUAAAUUUAGGAAGUAUAACCUGCCCAAUGAAUUAUUUAAAUGGCCGCGGUAUUAUGACCGUGCAAAGGUAGCAUAAUCAAUAGUCUUUUAAUUGGAGGCUGGAAUGAAUGGUUGGACGAGACAAUAACUAUCUUAGGUUAAGUUAAUUAGAAUUUAAUUAUUAAGUUAAAAAGCUUAAAUUUUUUUUUGGGACGAGAAGACCCUAUAGAGUUUAAUAUUUAUUAAAAUUAAGGAUUGUUAUUAAAUAUUAGAAAUUUUUAUUAAUAUUUAGUUGGGGUGAUUAAAAGAUAAUAGUAACUCUUUAUAGAUUUUUGUGAAUUAAUUAAUUUAUUAUUGAUCCAAUAUUAUUGAUUAUAAGACUAAAUUACC
RNAcentral lists this ribosomal RNA (380 nucleotides) under Phoetalia pallida. RNAcentral describes it as "partial 16S ribosomal RNA". Lineage: Eukaryota; Metazoa; Arthropoda; Insecta; Blattodea; Blaberidae. The record is from RNAcentral.